GCCUGGGUGGCUCAGUCGGUUAAGCAUCUGACUUCGGCUCAGGUCAUGAUCUCGCGGUCCGUGGGUUCGAGUCCCACGUCGGGCU
RNAcentral lists this transfer RNA (85 nucleotides) under Felis catus (domestic cat). It matches the Rfam family "tRNA". From Rfam's summary of the family: Transfer RNA (tRNA) molecules are approximately 80 nucleotides in length. Their secondary structure includes four short double-helical elements and three loops (D, anti-codon, and T loops). Lineage: Eukaryota; Metazoa; Chordata; Mammalia; Carnivora; Felidae. The record is from Rfam by way of RNAcentral.